Molecule: long non-coding RNA, 3558 nt
Organism: Brassica napus (rape)
Lineage: Eukaryota; Viridiplantae; Streptophyta; Magnoliopsida; Brassicales; Brassicaceae
Exons: 5
Source: RefSeq, a predicted model, not a curated record
UUUUGAAAUUGAAAAUUAUUUUUGAAACUAUUUUUAAAAUUUUUUUAUAUUUUUUAAGUAUUUAUUUAUAUAUUUAUUAGAAUACCAAAAUUUCACAUUCCGAAAAUAUUACACAUCCUUCAACUUUAAACCAUUAGUCUAGAUUAGUUAACCCUAAAGUUAUAAAUGUCUUUUACCCCUCAUUAAAAGUGAAAGUAAAAUUGGUUAGUGUAAACAUGCAAAGUGGUGGUGUUUUUUACAAUUUUUCUUAGUAUAAAGCGCAGGAUUUAGAUACAUACCUUAUUCCAAUUAAAUAGAUUAGAUAAACAGUAAAAAGAUUCGUUUUAAAUCUUUUUUAGUUCAGAAACUUAAAAUCCUAUCACUGUUGUAAUAAUGUCAAAAGGAAACGAAUACUAAUGAUUUUGGGUAAGUUUAACUAUAGAUUAGAAGAAUGUAUUAAAUUGAAAAUUUACAAAAAAAAAUAACUUGGUCUAAGGAGAGGAUUCUGUUUUAAUAAUAGAGAUUAGAAGAAUGUAUUAAAUUUAAAAAUUUACGAAAAAAAACUUGGUCUAAAGAGAGGAUUAUGUUUUAAUAAUAGAGAUUUUCUUGACACUGGUUGAAGGGUUUCUAGAGUGUGGUUCCCCAAAGUGUUUCGCGAUAAGCAUUUAUUUCUUAAUUAGCCUUUCGUGACUGUCUCUACACGGUGAUAUGGAGAAGGAACUGGAGAGUGAUUCAUCCUGUCAAUUCUGCAAAGAGUUUAAUGUGACAUGAGAUUUAUUGGAGUAGAUCCGUUUUCUGUAGAAAAAGAAAUCUAAACUAUACUAAAAGCACAAUAUAAAGCCCUAUAGAGCCCUCCACGACGGAUACAAAAAACGACCAAUAGUAAUGCAGCAAACAGCCACGUCAUCGUCGAGUUAACUUUGUUUGGGCUUUUGGUUUGGGCUUCGAUGUUUCCGGCCUGUAUGGUAUGAAUGUUUUUGAGCCCACGUUCAGGAGAUGAAAUACCGACGUGUUACGCGACCUGUCCCCUUUGUCGUAACCCUAAUUUUGUUCUUCACCCUCCUUUCGUCUUCCUGCUCUUCCAUCUCUCUCUCUUAUCCAAAUCCGUUUUCUUGAGUAACUUCACCACUAACUCCUGUAAUCAAACCUUGGUUUAACACAUUCAAUGGAUUCCUUUCGCCUUCUUCUUUAUUUUUCUAUUUAUAGAUCUGAUUUCUUAGCUUAUUACUCCAUCAAAGUUGAUAAGAUUCUCUCAGACACUCAUCGCGAUGGAAAACACUGGCAAAUCUUCGAUCUCCACCGACCGCAAGACCUGCGAGAAGACCGUCGACUCCUCUUCGUCUGCAAAACCAAACGGGAAGUCCACUGCUUCCUCUGUGACCGUCGACUCCUCUGCGUCUGUGAAAUCAAACGAGAAGUCCACCGCUUCUUCUGCGAUUUUGAAGAAACCUAACAAGAAGGCUGCUGUUUCAUCUGCCAAUCCGAUGUACCCAACCGCUGCUACCGCUCUCUCCUCCGCGCAUGGCGACCAAGUGAUGUUGUUCAGAGAUGUUUCUCACGGCCCACGCGAAGCCGAGUUGAUGUUUCGUUUGAUUCACUUAUGGGAGGCUCGCAAUCCAAAUACAAAAACGCUAAUUGGACAAGAGAUGCUCCUUAUCGACGAAGAGGCUUGUCCAUUUUUUUUAAUUUCUUCCUCUUGCUUUAAUAUUGCUCGAUUGAGAGAGUAUGGAAUUUUUAGUUUUUUCCUCUUGCUUUAGAAUUGCUUAAUUGAGGUAGUCUUAUAUUAAUCGAUGAUUUAAUUUUAUUGUCAGGGUACUGUUGUUCAAGGUUUUGUUCCAUUCAGACGUGUUGGGACAUUUGAUCUGAUAGCUGGUUCCUUGUAUAAACUGAGCAACUUUUUCGGAUCCAGAAGCAAAGAUCAGUAUCGGGUUACCGUCUCAUUCACUUGGAAUUCUUCUUUGUCCGUGCUUGAGAACCCUCCGGUUCUAAUUCCAGAAGAUAAGUUCAGGUUCCACAGCUACGAGGAGUUUAAGGCCAACUGUGACUCCAAGGGUGAUCUUUAUGAUUACGUUGGUCAUAUGAAACUGGUGAAUGGGCAGACUAUCACGGACCAUAUGGUGCUUGACGAAGAUGCCAUAGCAGAGAAGCAGCAUCUAUGUGUUCAUGUUCAGACACAUGAGUAAGUUUGUCCUUCUGCUAAUCAUUUUCAUUGUUUUGUGUGUUAAUUUUAAUACUUUUUUUUAUGAAGCGGACCGGUGAUGAAGCUUUAUCUGUGGGACAAGGUUGCAGCCGACUUCUGCCAGUAAUUCAAGUCGUAUGGAAGCAUCCCAAGCGUUCUUUUGGUCACCACUGUGAACCCUAAACAUCUUGGAGGUUAGCAUUUCUCUACUAGACAUCAUACUCAUAUACAGAGCUUAUUUGUAGUAAUUCGGUUGGAACUGUAUUAGGUUAUUCUUUUAUUGUUAGAUGAGGCAGUGGCAAUGUAUGUUCUGGAUAAUCACAUCGGUUCAUUUGCUAUUAGCAGAAACCUUUGCUAUCACUUCGUCAUCGUCUCGUGUGUUUAUGGAUGCCGAUGUUCAGCCUACCAAGGAUUAUCUUGAAUGGUAUGCAUCUCUGUAUUCAGUUAUUUGUCAUGCGAAUUUUGUUUUUUUACAUUUCGUACGUCAUUCUAACAUAUUUUGGGCUCCUUUCUUUUUUUCAGGUUGAGUUCCAACUCUGAUAUUGCUAAUAGGAUUGCUGCUGAGGUUGUUACUAAGCAUGAGACAGUGACUCUUGAAGAGCUAUUCUCUUACAUCAAGCAGGAAGCUUCUAAGGUUGCUUGGUUUGAGUGCAUGGCAACUAUAGAUGAUGUUGUCUAGGGUUCUGCUUGGUAUUACAUUUCCUGCGAUGGAUGUAAUAACAAGGCUGUCAAAGGGCCUACUUCUCUUAUUUGCAACAAUAAGAAGUGUGGGAAGAGUGAAGUCACAGGAGUGCCACAGUACCUCACGAGGAUUUCUGUGUAUGAUAAGAGUGAGCAAGCAGUGUUUGUCAUUCUUGGUGAUGCUGGCAAGGAGUUGACUGGGAAACAUGCAGCGGAAUUAGUUGCUAAGUACUUUGAGGCUAAUGAUGGAGUAGGAGCUGAACAUUGCGUCCCGGUUCCGCAAGCCUUGCUUGAUACAAUAGGGCAGACGCGCAAGUUUGUUGUUAAAGUAUCGGAUCAUAAUCUGAAAGGCAAGACUCAGUCCAUAACUGUCACCAAGAUUCUCCCACUAGAAGCUCCACUUCCAUCAGCUGUAGGUGAGGAAUCUGGUUCUUCCGGAGGCUUAGGAGAUACUGCAGGUGAUAGGGCUAGGAAAGCCGCUGAGAUCCUUGAGUCAGAUGCAGCAAAGCGUUCAAAGAGUGGCUAAUAUGGUUUCAACUUAUUUUCUUACGCAGUUAUUGUUUUAGCUGCAGUUCAGGUCGUGUUUUUUAAGUUUCCCUAAUGCCUAUGUGUUCUUUUCAUUUCAAACUUCAGGCUUUUGACCUUUUAUGUUUAAGGUUUUUUUAAUACAAUUUCCAUUAUAUGGUUUUAUCUUAUCCUUAUGAGCAUUUUACUUAUUG